This 3352-nucleotide long non-coding RNA is filed under the name Salvia miltiorrhiza (redroot sage). Its description in RNAcentral is "long non-coding RNA (SMIL_LNC006405)". Lineage: Eukaryota; Viridiplantae; Streptophyta; Magnoliopsida; Lamiales; Lamiaceae. The record is from RNAcentral.
GGUUGAAGCCCUUCAAGAAACAGAAUCUAAGCCAUCAGCUCGGAUUGUUGACGAAUCUUCAUUUCACCUUACACGGAACGAAGACUAUGCUAACAUGCCAUCAGAAAAGAAUUUAAGGGGAGUAUUGAGAUCCGAAGUUGAUAGGUCGUUGUCUAGAGACAAUAUUAUUAUAGUGGAUUCUUUGAACAACAUAAAGGGGUACAAAUACGAGCUAUGGUGUCUGGCUCGGGCAGCUGGUACAAGAUAUUGUGUCGUGCAUUGUGAUAUUGAAGAGACAUACUAUCGGAAAUGGAAUGAAGAACGGAGGGAGAAAUCAGAGGCGAAUUAUGAUGAUAAAAUAUUUGAAGAUCUGGUUAGAAGGUUUGAGAGGCCGGACAACAGAAACCGUUGGGAUUCACCGUUGUUUGAGCUACGGCCCUCCCGAGAUGGGAUUGAAAUAUCGUAUGCUGCCAUAGUGGAUGCUGUGACAUACCUGACAAAAAGAGUAGACUCGAAAACCAAGGAUGUUAAAGUGUUGCAGCCCACUAUGGCAACACAGGGCGCACGGCUAACAUAGGCGAAUUCUCUCUACGAGUUAGAUAGAGCAACACUGUCACACCCCAAUUCUUGAAUGAAUAAAUACAAUCGAGGAGAAACUAAAUCAUGAAAUAACACAAGGAAAAAUCCUUGUUGAAACCGAAUAGAAGGUAACAAGUCGGGCUAGGCCCAUUUGGAUCACAAGUUUUGUUUCAUACUUCUGAUAACCAGUAUUCAUUAGCAUAAAACUAAGAGUUAAGUGUUUAGGCUCAAUCAGAGAAAUCAUUCUAAAUCUGAUAUGAAAGUCUUAAGUUGAGAAACCAAAAGACAAGAUAUUAUUUACUGCUACAGCGGAAGUCUUAAAAGGAAGUUGAACCCUAGCCUCAACUUAGUCCCGUCAGCACCGGCCAGCCAACCUGAAAACAUUUAAAGUAUUUGGCUAAGUACUAAUGUACUUAGUGGGCAUUAUUUUAUAAACAUAUAUUUGUAAGAAUUAUUUUAUCAUAUUUACAUAACUAGUAGUUUUAAAUUAAGAACUUUAAGCAUUUAAAAUAUUUUUCAUUUUAUCAUUCACACUUUUCCUUACUCCUUGAUCCGGACUUUUUAGCCACGACAGAUCCAUUUUCCCAUUGCAGUUCCCUGAGGACGUAACUUAAGUUAAGACCUCGGACUACCAAAGGCCUUACAUGAUACAUGCUCCGGAACACAUCCCGUCGAGCACCCUUAUAACGCCUCUGGCCAGUGCCCGAUGGAGAUCAACCCACUAGGUCAGCUAGCAUGUGUACACGAUUCUCAGACAACGUGUUAGGUCAUAAGAGAACCUCAAUUGAUUAACUUUGCGAGCCUUAAACAGAGCAGAGUGCACAUAAAUAUUUUAUUGGAUAAACAGUUUGCAUAUCAUUUAAUAAACAGUUUGCAUUUCAUUGAAAUAUUUAGAGCUUAAUAACUCAAUCAUACUUUAUACAUUUGAAAAGUAAGCCCGCCUGGUUAGGCAAAGCCUGAAGAUCAUAAUCACAUAAAUUCAUCUCGGAAAAGCAGCACUAAUCCCCUUGGUCCACAAAGCCUACAAGAAAUUCUAUUCUUAAUAGGUCUGGUAAAGCUAAUCUUACUUCUUAGUGGAUGUACUAAACAUACUUGAUUCGUCACGCCGAGUUUUCAAAAUUUAAUGAAUAAAUACUUGAAAACUAAAAUUCUUGAGUUAAGGACACCAACAAUAUCCUUACUCGAUUUUCUUUUAUAAAUGGAUUAUAAAUAAAACCAAUUAAAUCAUAAAUGCUUUUAUUGCAAAAUGCAAAUGCAAUACAUGUCAUGCUUUAAACAUGUGAUAAGUAAUUACUUAAAAUAUGCACAUAAUAAUAAUAUAAUAUUAUUAUGCAAAUCAUUCAUUAAAUAAAUUAAUUAAACUGAUUAAUAGUCCAAUUAAUUAAAAUAGGGCAGCCCAAUUAAAAGGGCCCAGCUUUAAAAAAAAAAUCACAGCCCAUAUUUAAAAUAUAGAUCAGCCUCAAUUGAAAAAAAGCGGGCCCAAGAGUUUCAAUUGAAAAUAGGCCCAUCUUCUCUAAACAAAACACAACACAAUAAAAUAAACAAAAAUUCAGCCCAACUUCUCAAAGCCCAAACCUAACCCAUUUAUCACCCUUCUUCAACACACCCAUACACACAAACACACGCACCCAGCAGCUGCGCCGCCCAGCCUCCCUCUUCCUCCUUCUCUCUUCCGGUACACGACGGCAGCCACCGCCGGACACGCCGCCGCCCCCUGACUCUCCUCUCCCUCGUCUCUACUCUCUCUUCCUCUGAAUCUCCGGUGCACAGCAGCAACAAGCCACUGUCACCAUCAAAUUCUCAACCCUCCGGACUCCCUCUGUUUCCAAGCAACGACGAUGAGACCGCCGCCGCUCUGAGCCCUAGCCUCCAAAUCGCCGACUCUCCUGCUCGAUUCCCGGCGACCGCAGCUCCUUCCACGGCCGCCGCCCUCAACCACUCUCACCCCCGACCUAUCCUCUUCCUCUGACUCCGGCGACUCAGGGCAGCAACAGUCACAGGUAGCCACGGCCGCCGCCGUACACACUACACACCAUCAUCUCUCUAGCCUCUCGCCCUCUGUCUCACUUCUCCUUCACAAAUUCUGGCGCGGCACGAAUUUGCUGUUACAGUAGCACGGCGCCGCCCUCGGCUCUAUUUUCCCCACUGAUUUCGCCACCUCAUCGGGACCAGUACAACCAUCAAGCCGCCUAAAGGUAUUUACAACCAGUACAACCAUCAAGCCGCCUAAAGGUAGGUAUUUACAGAAGACAAUUUCUCUUGACAUUUCCUUUUUUUUGGUGAAGAUAUUGAAUGUUGAUUGCUCAAAUCCAUAUUUUUGAGUAAAAACGGUUGUUGAAAUCACGUUUGAACUUUUGAAAUUGUUACCGAAAUCACAUUUGUAUAUGCCUGAAAUUUUGGUGAAAAUAAACUGUCAAAAUUUUUGCCUGUGUUUUUAUAUAAUAUAUAGAUUGCACUAUUUUUUCCUUGAGAGUUCUUCAUAUGGAAGUAAUGAAUAAAGGCUAUAAAGCUCACAAAAACAAGUCUUGCAGAUGGCUCUAGUUGUUAUUUGUGGUCAGCCUUGCAGUGGGAAGUCAACAGCCGCGGCCUGCCUGGUUGAAGCCCUUCAAGAAACAGAAUCUAAGCCAUCAGUUCGGAUCGUUGACGAAUCUUCAUUUCACCUUACACGGAACGAAGGCUAUGCUAACAUGCCAUCAGAAAAGAAUUUAAGGGGAGUAUUGAGAUCCGAAGUUGAUAGGUCGCUGUCUAGAGACAAUAUUAUUAUAGUGGAUUCUUUGAACAGCAUAAAGGGGUA